UUGGCGGUGCGUCUAAUACAUGCAAGUCGAGCGCUACUUCGGUAGAGCGGCGAACGGGUGAGUAACACGUUGGAACCUGCCUCGAACUCAGGGAUAACAUCGAGAAAUCGGUGCUAAUACCGGAUAGUCCCGCAAGGGUAAAGAUUUUCGGUUCGAGAGGGGCCUGCGUCCUAUUAGCUAGUUGGUGAGGUAAUGGCUUACCAAGGCGAUGAUGGGUAGCUGGUCUGAGAGGAUGAUCAGUCACAGGGGAACUGAGACACGGUCCCCACUCC
Molecule: ribosomal RNA, 272 nt
Filed under: unidentified marine bacterioplankton
Lineage: Bacteria
Also listed under: 1 other name
Description: partial 16S ribosomal RNA
Rfam family: Bacterial small subunit ribosomal RNA
Source: RNAcentral